Molecule: ribosomal RNA, 318 nt
Filed under: uncultured alpha proteobacterium GE17
Lineage: Bacteria; Pseudomonadati; Pseudomonadota; Alphaproteobacteria
Description: bacterial SSU rRNA
Rfam family: Bacterial small subunit ribosomal RNA
Source: RNAcentral
AAACUUGAGCUAAUACCGGAUACGCCCUUAGGGGGAAAGAUUUAUUGCCGAAGGAUUGGCCCGCGUCCGAUUAGCUAGUUGGUGAGGUAAUGGCUCACCAAGGCGACUGAUCAGGUAGCUGGUCUGAGAGGAUGAUCAGCCACAUUGGGACUGAGACACGGCCCAGACUCCUACGGGAGGCAGCAGUGGGAAAUAUUGGACAAUGGGCGCAAGCCUGAUCCAGCCAUGCCGCGUGAGUGAUGAAGGCCCUAGGGUUGUAAAGCUCUUUCGCCAGGGACGAUAAUGGCGGUACCUGGAUAAGAAGCCCCGGCUAACUUC